RNAcentral lists this ribosomal RNA (730 nucleotides) under Bacillus sp. (in: firmicutes). RNAcentral describes it as "bacterial SSU rRNA". It matches the Rfam family "Bacterial small subunit ribosomal RNA", at positions 53 to 764 of the family's 1533-position model. The record is from RNAcentral. Lineage: Bacteria; Bacillati; Bacillota; Bacilli; Caryophanales; Bacillaceae.
ACAUGCAGUCGAGCGAAUGGAUUAAGAGCUUGCUCUUAUGAAGUUAGCGGCGGACGGGUGAGUAACACGUGGGUAACCUGCCCAUAAGACUGGGAUAACUCCGGGAAACCGGGGCUAAUACCGGAUAACAUUUUGAACCGCAUGGUUCGAAAUUGAAAGGCGGCUUCGGCUGUCACUUAUGGAUGGACCCGCGUCGCAUUAGCUAGUUGGUGAGGUAACGGCUCACCAAGGCAACGAUGCGUAGCCGACCUGAGAGGGUGAUCGGCCACACUGGGACUGAGACACGGCCCAGACUCCUACGGGAGGCAGCAGUAGGGAAUCUUCCGCAAUGGACGAAAGUCUGACGGAGCAACGCCGCGUGAGUGAUGAAGGCUUUCGGGUCGUAAAACUCUGUUGUUAGGGAAGAACAAGUGCUAGUUGAAUAAGCUGGCACCUUGACGGUACCUAACCAGAAAGCCACGGCUAACUACGUGCCAGCAGCCGCGGUAAUACGUAGGUGGCAAGCGUUAUCCGGAAUUAUUGGGCGUAAAGCGCGCGCAGGUGGUUUCUUAAGUCUGAUGUGAAAGCCCACGGCUCAACCGUGGAGGGUCAUUGGAAACUGGGAGACUUGAGUGCAGAAGAGGAAAGUGGAAUUCCAUGUGUAGCGGUGAAAUGCGUAGAGAUAUGGAGGAACACCAGUGGCGAAGGCGACUUUCUGGUCUGUAACUGACACUGAGGCGCGAAAGCGUGG